GUAGGUGAACCUGCGGAAGGAUCAUUACGAGUCGCGGACUUUUUUGUCCGCUACCCUUCCAAACCCCAGUGAAUUUGUUCAUGUUGCUUCGGCGGGCCCGAAUUUUUUUCCUGGCUGCCCUCGCGGUGGCUGGAGCGCCCGCCAGAAGACCCCUUUUUUCCUUACUGGUGAAUGUCUGAAAACAAAACAAAAUAAACUAAAACUUUCAACAACGGAUCUCUUGGUUCUC
Molecule: unclassified non-coding RNA, 229 nt
Filed under: rhizosphere metagenome
Description: partial ribosomal RNA internal transcribed spacer region
Source: RNAcentral